Long non-coding RNA from Hemibagrus wyckioides, 444 nucleotides. RefSeq lists it as uncharacterized. The record is from RefSeq and is a predicted model, not a curated record. The transcript has 3 exons. NCBI's taxonomy places the organism in Eukaryota, Metazoa, Chordata, Actinopteri, Siluriformes, Bagridae.
CUCCGGAUGUUUCUAGGUGAGAUGGCCAGCUCGAGACUCUGCAGCCAUUUCCACACUUCCCGCGGAAGUCUGCUCCUCUUCUUCGGCGAAGUCUCGGUGCGCUGCUGCCACCUGGCGAUCAUUUACACUCACUACACUGCUCUCUAAACUUCUGGAGGAGAUCCUCUCUGAUUGGAGAAACCAAGGGGGCGGUGUUUCCAAAAUGGCAGAGUCUUCAAGAUGGCGCAGUAGCAGCUCGGCUAGCUGUUAGCUUUUCACUCUGACCUUUUUGUUUAAUUAUUUAGUUAUUUUGAGGCUAAUCCACACACAGCCAUAAAUCUGGAAAUAUAACACUUGUUCUGUUUACACCUGAGAACUGAGCUGGUUCUGUGUUAAUGCUCUCCACAGAAUCUUCCAUUAAAAUGUUCUUUCUUUUUCUUUCUUUCUUUCUUUCUUUCUUUCUUU